UAAACACUCCGAAGCCACAGUGUUUGUAUUAUCAAUUGAACAAUGUGUCUCAGAGUGUAGU
RNAcentral lists this microRNA precursor (61 nucleotides) under Sarcophilus harrisii (Tasmanian devil). RNAcentral's name for it is "Sha-Mir-12475-P5_pre stem-loop". Lineage: Eukaryota; Metazoa; Chordata; Mammalia; Dasyuromorphia; Dasyuridae. The record is from RNAcentral.